AAGUCGUAACAAGGUUUCCGUAGGUGAACCUGCGGAAGGAUCAUUAAUAAAUAAAAGGGGUUGGGGCAUUCUUUGAUCCCCCAACCCCUAAACCUUUUUGGUCAUCUCCUUUUGUGCACUUUUAUCGAACCCCAUCUAUGCUUUUGGCCAGACCUUCUUUGUACGCAAGGGGGGUUUGCCAAAGGUUUACCCUCAACCAUAGCCUGAUUGUUUGACUGAACAUACAAUAAUAAAAUCAAAUACAACUUUCAACAACGGAUCUCUUGGCUCUC
RNAcentral lists this unclassified non-coding RNA (272 nucleotides) under fungal sp. Its description in RNAcentral is "partial internal transcribed spacer region". The stretch from base 1 to 46 matches the Rfam family "Eukaryotic small subunit ribosomal RNA", at positions 1786 to 1831 of the family's 1831-position model. The record is from RNAcentral. Lineage: Eukaryota; Fungi.